GAGGCGGGAAUGGCCGGGUGUGCUGACAGGCUCCCCGCGCCUGGGCGAGGCCGUUCUCAGCCUCCCAGGCUCACCUGGUCCGGCCCAGUCCAGAAGAGCCGCCCGGCUGAGCACGGACUCCUGAGAAGUAGGAACUUGAAGGAGGCACUGCAGUGGGGGAUGUCUGUGCAUCUCUGUAGGAUGGUAUACCAGUCUCAGUGCAGCUGGCAUCUGGCAAAAAGCAGUUAAGUGUAUACCACUGUCAGUCAUCUGGAAAUCCUUUCACUUUUAACCUUUAUGUGGCAUUUCACUACAUGUGGGCUUUUCGUAAACAGCAUUUAUAUAGGGAAACUGAGACCCAGUGAAGUUGGACAAUUUGCCAAGGAUGCACAGCUGAAACAUGUUAGAGCCGGGAUUUGAACCCAGAUCCGAUGCAGAUACCACAUCUCUUCAGGUCUUGGUGAUCUAUGAUGGCUUCCUAGUUUUUCAUAACCUUGACAGUUUUGGGGGCUACCACUCAGGAUUUUGAAUGCAUCCUCUUUCUAUCUCCUGACCUUCAUGGAUUUGCUGAGAAAUCCUCUCCCAGCCUUAUGAAAGUUCCUUUGUAUGUGAUGAUGUGAAGAUAGAGCUGAGAGAGAUUUGAAGAUGCUGGCGCUGAAGAUUGGAGAGAUGUGAUCAUGAGCCAAGGAAUGCCAACAGCCACCAGAAACUGAAAGAGGCAAGGGAUAGAUUCCUUCCUAGACCCUCUAGAGGAAAUACCGCACUGACCACACCUUGAUUUCAGUCUGAUUGAUAUUGCUGUACUUGUAGAUCAACAUGAAGGCUUAACUUGAGGACAAAGGAGCUUUCUUGCCCCAGUCUCCUGAAGCUCUCUGCAUUGGGCUGAGCUGACCCUGGAGGAAACCAGACAGCUGUUUUGGAUAAGAAGUUAACCUCCAUACCUCUUGUGCCCACAGUAAGGAAUCAUAAGGAGGAAAAUACACAAACCAAAGGGAGACCCAUUUGCACAAAAAUAUUUACCACUGAAUUACUCACUCAGUAGAAUCCUUGAGAGUCUCAAAUCUGAGCUCCAGUGUCCAAUGCUAAGAGGUCCUGGGAGAAGAGAAGGAAACAGAAAAGAGACCAAAAAGGAGUAAUGCAGGCAGCAGGAAGAGGAACAGGGUAUCCUGAAAGUCAAGUAAAAAGCACAUCAAGGAGGAUUUUAGAAACAAGAUCAGUAAAUGGUCUUGUGUGAAGAGAAUAGUGAGUUUGCACUGAAGGAUAUAAACUAGGACUUCAAUAAAUAUAAUAAUAAAUAAAUAAUAGGACUUCCUAUCUUGGAUAAGAAGAUUUAGUAUGGCACAAUGUUCAUUCUUCUUAGAUUAGCCUUUAAUUCAAUAUAAUCCCAAUAAACACACACACACACACACACUCAAAUUGAUGGGAUUUAAUAAGAUUAUUAUAAAUCUGGAACAAUAGAUAUUAAAGAACAGAAUGAAAUUUUCUGAAAAGUAAGCAUAAUCAGUGGGAUUUACCUUACCCUUUUCCCAACCAUGUUGUAAAGUUAAUGAAAACCACAGAAAAGACACAGAUACGGAAAACAGGGCAUGGAAUAGAGGUGUAGACCCGAAAACCCUUGGCUCUUUGGCAUACAGCAAAGUUGGUGUUUCACAUUUGGGACGGAAAUGAUGAAUUAAUCAGUAAAUCAUAUCUAAAUUGGCUAGUCAUUUGGGUUAAAAAAGUUAAGCUAGAAACUAUCCUCAGGUCUUUACUCCCAAAUAAACUUCAGAGCUAGAUCAAAGAUGAAAAGAGAAAAAUUUGAUCUUUUAAUCUAUGCAAUAUUGGGAAAAAAAACCACAAGAGAAUAUUUUUGGCAAACUUUAGAAAAACUAAAGGAAAAAGCAUAUGAUUUAAUUGCCUGAAAUAGAUUUCUAUGGAGCAAAAGAAGUUGUAAAGUUAAAAGAUAAUAUCAAUGUGGAAGAAAUUCUUUAAAAAUAAGUAUGAGGGAAAGGGUUAAUAUUGUUAAUAUUAAUUUGGAUUAGAAAUAAAGUUGAGGGUUAAAUAAAUACUUAGGUGGAGGAGAAAGAGCCUUAGACUCUGUUCAUCCCCACUUCCUGCAGGUGUCCACCUCUGUGAACACUCACUAGACAGUAGCUGCCAGGUGGGCACGCUGGGCCAUGGGGGUGUGCCUAAGUACCAGGAGCUGAACACACACCCUCCCAACCAAUCCUCUACCUAAAAGGCCCACCCUAGACCCUCUGGCUCCUUUCCCUCCCCCAAGUGGUAAUGAUGGGGACCAAGAGGAGUCCUGUGAGUCCUCUUCCCCUCAGAGGGUGAUCCUAUGGAACUUGAGACCAUGCUGGCUGGGCAUCUAAGCUGGCGUGGGCAGAGCCAUGCCUGGUGGUUGGGGGAGGAGGUAGGGUGCAGAGUCCCAGGGUAGCAUAUUGUGAGGAGAUCUGGAAAUCAUGAGCAACAUCUAGGAGAGGAGCCAAGGAAAGGAAGAUUUGGGGGUAGGGGCCCCAGGCAGGUAAAAUUUAGGAGUGGAGCAGAGGUGAGCGGGAGAGUGGGGUGGUCACAGCCCUCCAAUUUGCAAUGAGUUCCCUUUGCUAUGGGGAAGUUACCCUCAUGUCCUGUUUUUAGGAAGCACAUGAUAUGGGAAAGCCCAUCCUGAGACAUUACUUACUUCUUUGGUUCAUUCAUUCAACAAAUAAUUUAUUAUUUAUUGUGGGCUACAGUGAGCCAGGCCCUGGGAUUGUCUCCAUUCCUGUGCAUUUAUAAAUUUUAAGGCAGUGUAAGAAUAUUUGGAUUUAACAUGGAAAAUCACAAAUAACAAUGUUCCCUGCCAGCUUUAAUUUGCUGCCUUUCAUGGGGGUCAGAGAAAUGCAGGGCGUGAGUUUCCAUCUUAAGGUUAUUGAACCUGCUGUGUGCCAGGCACUGGGUUAGACCCUGGGGAGGGGGUACAUUGUUGACCAUCCUUUAUCCUUGCUUAUUAAUUUAACAUGAGAUCCCCAAACCCAGAUCACAGAGUAUCCAAUGUGAAACAACCUUCAGGCUGACACAGUCUGUUCCAAAGCAACUGAGAUCAGUUGCCUUUUUGGCAUUUGGUUUUUGGUGCUGGGCCAAAAAAAAGAGUGGGAUGAGGAGAUUCUUACCAUAAAUGCAGCUGUUUAAUCCAGUCACUUUGUAAGGGUCUCAUUGAAUUUUUGAUGGAGAAGAUGUUUUUGUCUGGGCCAACUUCAGGACAAAGGGAAAUGUAACUAACACAGGGCAGAGUUGAUAGUGUUUAAAAACAUGUUCAAAGAUCUUAUACUUUGUAACUGAGUUGCUGAGCAAUAAUGGAAGAAUUCCUGACACAGCAGGGUGAGCCUGACUAAGCCAUACCGACUGACAACUGGGAGGAGGGGCCCUUAUUCCCCAGUAGAAUGCAGGCUGG
Molecule: long non-coding RNA, 3391 nt
Organism: Canis lupus familiaris (dog)
Lineage: Eukaryota; Metazoa; Chordata; Mammalia; Carnivora; Canidae
Exons: 8
Source: RefSeq, a predicted model, not a curated record